RNAcentral lists this ribosomal RNA (814 nucleotides) under Macrobiotus sp. PC-2013. Its description in RNAcentral is "SSU rRNA". It matches the Rfam family "Eukaryotic small subunit ribosomal RNA", at positions 100 to 925 of the family's 1831-position model. Lineage: Eukaryota; Metazoa; Tardigrada; Eutardigrada; Parachela; Macrobiotidae. The record is from RNAcentral.
AUUAAAUCAGUUAUGGUUCACUARAUCGUAAAUCCUACACGGAUAACUGUGGUAAUUCUAGAGCUAAUACGUGCAAACGGCUCGUUCCCUUGUGGAGCGAGCGCAGUUAUUARAACAAAACCAAUCCGGCCUUCGGGUCGGUUAAAAUGGUGACUCUGAAUAACCGAAGCGGAGCGUAUGGUCUCGUACCGACGCCAGAUCUUUCARGUGACUGCUCUAUCAGCUUGUUGCUAGGUUAUGCUCCUAGCARGGCUUCAACGGGUAACGGGGUAUCAGGGUCCGAUACCGGARAGGGAGCCUGARAAACGGCUACCACAUCCAAGGAAGGCASCAGGCGCGCAAAUUACCCACUCCCAGCACGGGGAGGUAGUGACGAAAAAUAACGAUGCGAGGGCAUAUUGCUUCUCGUAAUCGGAAUGGGUACACUUUAAAUCCUUUAACGAGGAUCUAUUGGAGGGCAAGUCUGGUGCCAGCAGCCGCGGUAAUUCCAGCUCCAAUAGCGUAUAUWAAAGUUGCUGCGGUUAAAAAGCUCGUAGUUGGAUCUGGGCAGCUGGAUGUGCGGUGCGCUUUACAGCGUUACUGCUCGUUUGGCGCCACAAGCCGGCCAUGUCUUGCAUGCUCUUCACUGGGUGUGCUUGGCGACCGGAACGUUUACUUUGAAAAAAUUAGAGUGCUCAAAGCAGGCGUAUGGCCUUGCAUAAUGGUGCAUGGAAUAAUGGAAUAGGACCUCGGUUCUAUUUUGUUGGUUAUCGGAGCUCGAGGUAAUGAUUAARAGGAACAGACGGGGGCAUUCGUAUUGCGGCGUUAGAGGUGA